UACGUAGGGGGCGAGCGUUGUUCGGAUUCACUGGGCGUAAAGGGUGUGUAGGUGGUUAUGUAAGUCGAGUGUGAAAGUCUUCCGCUCAACGGAGGAAGUGCAUUCGAAACUAUAUAGCUAGAGUUCGGGAGAGGAGAGCGGAAUUCUCGGUGUAGCGGUGAAAUGCGUGGAGAUCGAGAAGAACACCAGCGGUGAAAGCGGCUCUCUAGACCGAUACUGACACUGAGGCACGAAAGCGUGGGGAGCGAACGGG
Molecule: ribosomal RNA, 253 nt
Filed under: uncultured bacterium
Lineage: Bacteria
Description: partial 16S ribosomal RNA
Rfam family: Bacterial small subunit ribosomal RNA
Source: RNAcentral